GUUUUUUUGGAAGCCGGGUUUAGGUUGUGGAAGCUCUGGAACUACAUUACCCACAAGUCAUAGCUGCGAUUUCAUUAUCAGGGCUUCACCAGGUGUGCACAGAUUCGCGAGGGAAAGGGCUUUCUGCACGCACAGCAGGGUGAGGACAGGAUCAGGACACCACCACCGCACCCCCGACACAAACCAGAACCACCGCCGCAGACAUGUCGGACUCUGAGACCGCUGCCCCCGUCGAGGCCCCCGUCCCCGCCGCCUGCGCCACCAUCAAGGCCGACCUGGACAAAUGUGUUGCAGAGAAAGGAGCCGAGGGCUGCAAAGAUCUGCUGGAGGCGUUCGCUGCCUGCGUAAAGAGCAGCGCUGAGGGGACGUCAUGAGGAGCUGACCCCCUACCUCAAUGUCCUCUGCACUGAGUCCUCCAGUUCCCAGCAUUCCCUUCUGCACAACAGCUCUGGACUGAACGAUAACGAUGAAGACUGUGAUGAAGAUGGCGAUGGCGUGACAAACCUCCAGAUGAUUCGGGCUGAAUUCGGGAUGUGGUGGCAGUAACCACAGUUUCCUCCUCCCUCCCCCCCCUCCCCCCUGUUGUAGGCUUAUCUGAUGUCCCUCAGUCUUACCCCCCCCCCCCCCCCUUCGUGUACCGUUGACAUGCAUCAACCUGUAGACAAGUCCAGAGAGCUGAGCUGUAAUAUACAUUGUCGACUCGUGAUGAAUAUAUAAAUGGAAAUAAAAGAA
This is a long non-coding RNA of Eleginops maclovinus (Patagonian blennie), 732 nucleotides long. RefSeq lists it as uncharacterized. The transcript has 4 exons. Lineage: Eukaryota; Metazoa; Chordata; Actinopteri; Perciformes; Eleginopidae. The record is from RefSeq and is a predicted model, not a curated record.